This 65-nucleotide transfer RNA is filed under the name Dipodomys ordii (Ord's kangaroo rat). It matches the Rfam family "tRNA". Rfam says of the family: Transfer RNA (tRNA) molecules are approximately 80 nucleotides in length. The record is from Rfam by way of RNAcentral. Lineage: Eukaryota; Metazoa; Chordata; Mammalia; Rodentia; Heteromyidae.
GGUGGCUCAGUAGUACAGCGCUUGCCUUGUAUGCAUGAGGCCCUGGGUUUGAUUCCCCAGUACCA